UUGCUCUUCAACGAGGAAUGCCUAGUAAGCGCAUGUCAUCAGCAUGCGUUGAUUACGUCCCUGCCCUUUGUACACACCGCCCGUCGCUACUACCGAUUGAAUGGCUCAGUGANGCCUUCGGACUGGCUCGGAGAGGUUGGCAACGACCACUCCGAGCCGGAAAGUUCGUCAAACUCGGUCAUUUAGAGGAAGUAAAAGUCGUAACAAGGUUUCCGUAGGUGAACCUGCGGAAGGAUCAUUACCUAGAGUUGUAGGCUUUGCCUGCUAUCUCUUACCCAUGUCUUUUAAGUACCUUACGUUUCCUCGGCGGGUCCGCCCGCCGAUUGGACAAUUUAAACCAUUUGCAGUUGCAAUCAGCGUCUGAAAAAACUUAAUAGUUACAACUUUCAACAACGGAUCUCUUGGUUCUGGCAUCGAUGAAGAACGCAGCGAAAUGCGAUAAGUAAUGCGAAUUGCAGAAUUUCCGUGAGUCAUCGAAUCUUUGAACGCACAUUGCGCCCUUUGGUAUUCCGAAGGGCAUGCCUGUUCGAGCGUCAUUAUCCCCCCCUCAAACCUCGUGUUUGGCGUUGGACCCGUGUUGGUUGGCGACGAUCAACUGGUCCCAAAGACAAUGACGGUUCCCGCUGGGACCCUUGGUGCAACGAGCUUCUUUCGAGAGCACGCAUCGGGUGGGAUCCAGCGGGCCGGUCUCCUUAAAAGUUUUUUCUAAAGGUUGACCUCGGAUCAGGUAGGAAUACCCGCUGAACUUAAGCAUAUCAAUAAGCGGAGGA
Molecule: ribosomal RNA, 770 nt
Filed under: uncultured fungus
Lineage: Eukaryota; Fungi
Description: eukaryotic LSU rRNA
Rfam family: Eukaryotic small subunit ribosomal RNA (bases 1-241)
Source: RNAcentral